GUAGCAGUGUGGCAGGACUGCUUAGUGUGUGCAGAGGGGCACGAGCAGUGGUGGGGAUGCCUGUGGUCCAAAUGUUUGCAUGCUGUGUGCUGUUUGGAUUGCUAAAAUAGACCGUAUCUCCAGUGAAGCAGAGCAGAGUGGUGCUUCAGGGACGUCCAGGAAACAAACCAGAGCGUGGGCAGUUGAACUGAGG
Cheilinus undulatus (humphead wrasse) is the source of this 193-nucleotide long non-coding RNA. RefSeq lists it as uncharacterized. NCBI's taxonomy places the organism in Eukaryota, Metazoa, Chordata, Actinopteri, Labriformes, Labridae. The record is from RefSeq and is a predicted model, not a curated record. The transcript has 3 exons.